This 203-nucleotide ribosomal RNA is filed under the name Candidatus Doudnaibacteriota bacterium. Its description in RNAcentral is "Candidatus Doudnabacteria bacterium partial 16S ribosomal RNA". It matches the Rfam family "Bacterial small subunit ribosomal RNA", at positions 1 to 218 of the family's 1533-position model. The record is from RNAcentral. Lineage: Bacteria; Candidatus Doudnaibacteriota.
AAUAAUGAGAGUUUGAUCCUGGCUCAGGACGAACGCUGGCGGCGUGUCUAAGGCAUGCAAGUCGAACGCAACCUCGGUUGAGUGGCAAACGGGUGAGUAACGCGUUGGUAACCUACCCUUUGGCCGGGCAUAACAGGAAGAAAUUCCUGCUAAUUCCCGAUAGUCUCACAUCAUUUCUGUGUUUGUGAGUAAAGAUUUAUCAC